UACGUAGGGUGCGAGCGUUGUCCGGAAUUAUUGGGCGUAAAGAGCUCGUAGGCGGCUUGUCGCGUCGGAUGUGAAAGCCCGGGGCUUAACUCCGGGUCUGCAUUCGAUACGGGCAGGCUAGAGUUCGGUAGGGGAGAUCGGAAUUCCUGGUGUAGCGGUGAAAUGCGCAGAUAUCAGGAGGAACACCGGUGGCGAAGGCGGAUCUCUGGGCCGAUACUGACGCUGAGGAGCGAAAGCGUGGGGAGCGAAAAGG
Molecule: ribosomal RNA, 253 nt
Filed under: uncultured bacterium
Lineage: Bacteria
Description: partial 16S ribosomal RNA
Rfam family: Bacterial small subunit ribosomal RNA
Source: RNAcentral